GAUGAACGCUGGCGGCGUGCUUAACACAUGCAAGUCGAGCGAACAGACGAGGAGCUUGUUGCUCUGACGUUACGGGCGGCCGGGUGAGUAACACGUAGAUAGCCCACUUCUACGUCAUGGUUGACUACAGGAAACCGGAGCUAAUACUAGAUCAUAUUUUUAACCGCUUGGCUCAUGAGUGUUUGAACGUUUUGCUAUCGGUUAUAGAUGGAUCCGCGUCGCAUUAGCUUGUUGGUAAGGUAACGGCGUACCAAGGCAACGAUGCGUAGCCGGCCUGAGAGGGGGAUCGGCCACACUGGAACUGAGACACGGUCCAGACGCCUACGGGAGGCAGCAGUAGGGAAUCUUCCGCAAUGGGCGGAAGCUUGACGGAGCAACGCCGCGUGAGGGAUGAAGGUCUUCGGAUCGUAAAACUCUGUUAUUAUGGAAGAACAAAUGUGUAAGUAACUAUGCACGUCUUGACGGUACCUAAUCAGAAAGCCCCGGCUAACUACGUG
Molecule: ribosomal RNA, 497 nt
Filed under: uncultured bacterium
Lineage: Bacteria
Description: partial 16S ribosomal RNA
Rfam family: Bacterial small subunit ribosomal RNA
Source: RNAcentral